This is a long non-coding RNA of Diceros bicornis minor, 781 nucleotides long. RefSeq lists it as uncharacterized. The record is from RefSeq and is a predicted model, not a curated record. The transcript is spliced from 3 exons. NCBI's taxonomy places the organism in Eukaryota, Metazoa, Chordata, Mammalia, Perissodactyla, Rhinocerotidae.
UCAUUAUGAUGCAGGAUGAAGACCUCACUCCAAGCUCAGGGAUGAAGCUGAAGGCACCUAGAAGAUGCCAUCCUCCAUCUCUACCUGUGGUGAAUCCGCACGGAUGUGGAUUGAGAGAGGGAACAUAUAAAGCAAUAAUUUUCCAGGAGUCUGUGCUACAGCAUCGCACUGCAUCUAUUCAUCAGGCCCCGUGACUGUGGGCAUAACAAGGCGGAGAAAAGGGUCAGCCUGAGAAUUUUGGCUCGCCGGCUUCACAGAGCCAAACAAAAAAACCUGACCCACCCAAGAAGGCCUCAGAAAAUGAUCAGAGCAUGUGUUUUGUCCUUGAAAUUUCUGCUAUUCUUUUGAUUUAUAAGCAGUCCAAAGAAGGAUCCUAUAAAUUAAAACAUAUACUCCUGCAUCUUAAUUUUCAUUCAGACCCCAGCGGUAGAUUUACAGUCAUUCAAGACCUACUCCAUCAUAAUUAAAUUGUACUUGUCAGCUUUUUAUUGCUACUCUUGGAGAUAAAUCCUUAUGCUGGAGGUUCCCACAGUGAGUAUCAUCACGGCCUCUUGCUCAUAUCCUGGAGAGGGGUUUCUGACAGAAUCGUAACUCCAGCAGAUCUUGGAUGACUUUCCUUCAGCUUAUCUCUUCAUCACAAGACACCAUUAUUUUGUUAUCUAAAAAUAUUCUGAUUGCUUUUGUUUCUUCAAAGUUUUCCAGAGCUUUUUUUUUCUCAUUCUUUUUCCCUCUCUCCCUCCCUCCCUCACAUCUCUCCUUCCUUCUAAGAAAUAAAAAUGAA